This 254-nucleotide ribosomal RNA is filed under the name uncultured bacterium. Its description in RNAcentral is "partial 16S ribosomal RNA". It matches the Rfam family "Bacterial small subunit ribosomal RNA", at positions 524 to 776 of the family's 1533-position model. The record is from RNAcentral.
UACGUAGGGGGCGAGCGUUGUCCGGAUUCAUUGGGCGUAAAGAGCUCGUAGGCGGUUCGGUAAGUCAGGUGUGAAAACUCCAGGCUUAACUUGGAGACGCCACCUGAUACUGUCGUGACUAGAGUCCGGUAGGGGAGCAUGGAAUUCCUGGUGUAGCGGUGAAAUGCGCAGAUAUCAGGAGGAACACCAGCGGCGAAGGCGGUGCUCUGGGCCGGAACUGACGCUGAGGAGCGAAAGCGUGGGGAGCGAACAGG